Molecule: ribosomal RNA, 433 nt
Filed under: uncultured bacterium
Lineage: Bacteria
Description: partial 16S ribosomal RNA
Rfam family: Bacterial small subunit ribosomal RNA
Source: RNAcentral
AACGAACGCUGGCGGCAUGCCUAACACAUGCAAGUCGAACGAGACCUUCGGGUCUAGUGGCGCACGGGUGCGUAACGCGUGGGAACCUGCCCUUAGGUUCGGAAUAACUCCCCGAAAGGGGUGCUAAUACCGGAUAAUGUCUUCGGACCAAAGAUUUAUCCCCUUUGGAUGGGCCCGCGUUGGAUUAGCUAGUUGGUAGGGUAAAAGCCUACCAAGGCGACGAUCCAUAGCUGGUCUGAGAGGAUGAUCAGCCACACUGGGACUGAGACACGGCCCAGACUCCUACGGGAGGCAGCAGUGGGGAAUAUUGGACAAUGGGCGAAAGCCUGAUCCAGCAAUGCCGCGUGAGUGAUGAAGGCCUUAGGGUUGUAAAGCUCUUUUACCCGGGAUGAUAAUGACAGUACCGGGAGAAUAAGCUCCGGCUAACUCCGUG